AUCCAGCCGACGAGUCCCAAAUAGGACGAAACGCUCUUUGUCAUGAAU
This is a non-coding RNA of Schistosoma mansoni, 48 nucleotides long. Lineage: Eukaryota; Metazoa; Platyhelminthes; Trematoda; Strigeidida; Schistosomatidae. The record is from Rfam.